Molecule: ribosomal RNA, 431 nt
Filed under: uncultured bacterium
Lineage: Bacteria
Description: partial 16S ribosomal RNA
Rfam family: Bacterial small subunit ribosomal RNA
Source: RNAcentral
AACGAACGCUGGCGGCAGGCCUAACACAUGCAAGUCGAGCGCCCCGCAAGGGGCGCGGCGGACGGGUGAGUAACGCGUGGGAAUAUGCCCUUUGCUACGGAAUAGUCUCGGGAAACUGGGGGUAAUACCGUAUACGCCCUUUGGGGGAAAGAUUUAUCGGCUAAGGAUUAGCCCGCGUUGGAUUAGGUAGUUGGUGGGGUAAUGGCCUACCAAGCCGACGAUCCAUAGCUGGUUUGAGAGGAUGAUCAGCCACACUGGGACUGAGACACGGCCCAGACUCCUACGGGAGGCAGCAGUGGGGAAUCUUAGAAAAUGGGGGCAACCCUGAUCUAGCCAUGCCGCGUGAGUGAUGAAGGCCUUAGGGUUGUAAAGCUCUUUCAGCUGGGAAGAUAAUGACGGUACCAGCAGAAGAAGCCCCGGCUAACUACGUG